UUGAACCUAAUAUUUUUUCCUGACUGUAAGGAAGUCAAGGUAAAUCAUUCAAUUUUUAAAAAAUAUAUAUAUAUGUAGAAAGGGAGUGAUGGAUGUAGCAAAACAAUUAAGUCCAUUAAAAAAUAGAAAUGCUUAUAAUCAAACUACUACCAGUCUUCAAAUACAGUAACAUAUGAACCAAAUUCAUACAAGUUUGUAGAAAGGAGAACCCUUGUUUGUUUGAAUCAGUUUCAAAUGCAAAUACCACUAUUAAAAUACUGUAGAAUUUCCAAGAAAUUUUCCUCAGUCAAGGCAAACAUUUUUGGUCACACUUUCACACAAAGGAAACUUAGCACAUGUUAAUUCUUAACAAGAGAAUCAUACUAAUAGAAGCACACCUACCCAGCAUAAGAAUUUGUUGAGAUUUAAGCAGAAAAAAAAAAAACUAACAAGAAAAGAAGAAAAUAUCAAGCACUGCAUAAGGCUACCGUGAUCAGUCCUAAACAAUCAUUAUCCUUCUCAUUAGUAUACACUAACACCCUGGAUAUCAUUCAAAGGUAAUGGAUGAAGUUGUAAGCUUUGUUUGCAUUACCUUCUCUGGUCUUUGUAAACCAACUUUCACCCUGAUGUAACAUUAAGAAAAAAAAAAAAAAAAAAAAAAAAAAAAAAAUAAUAUUGCUCUUUUUCAGUCUCCUCUUCCGAUGAGCGAUUGCAUACCAAAGAGGCUUCCAUUAAACGCUUAAAGGAGGGUUUCCAUUCGUCUUUUAAAGGAGGGUUUCCAUUUAUAUUCUGAAGGAGGGUUUCAUCAGAAGAUUUCCAGGUGUUGUAAAAAAAUUUGUCUCUGUAGGAGGGAUUAAGGACGAAAUUUGUAAUGAAAUCUCCCAGUUCCUUAAUUAAUCAGGAUACCCACUCAACCCAUCCCAUCACUAUUUAGAUAUCUAGAUGCAAAGUUCUACUCACAACCAACAUCAGGAAUACUGGGAAGUUCAUAUACAGUGAAUACAUAUUAAAAAGGCAUGUUCACAGUGUGUUUCCAACCACAAAACUCAACCGUUCAGAUCCUUUCACCAUGGGAGAGAGGAAAUGAAAAUCCCUAUCAUAAAAUGACAAAAAAUGGAGUACAAUGUACAAAACAUUGUUAAUAAUAUCAAUCAUUUCAAAUAAAAUGAUAGUCAACAAUGACAAAAGGCUAUCUAUCACACUUAACAUAUCUCUCUCAAGAAAAUGUGUCACUGCAAACCAUCUGCAAUUCUUAGUUCAGAGUAGGUCAGUAUGCAUCACUUCACAAUAAUGAAUUUCUGAAGUAGUACCACUUGAUAUACUUGUACACCAGACGAUCUUUCUAAUAAUAAAAAAAAGGGCAAUGUCGUAAACUAUCUUGCAAAAAACCUGAGAAUCACAUUCACCUUAAAAAUAAAUCAUUAAAAAAAAAAAAGAUACAAUGUGGUAAUUUGAGGAUUGGUGGAAAAAAGAAAAGAAAAGAAAGAAAAAAAAAAAAAGGAAAUAUCAAUAAGGUAUCCCA
Long non-coding RNA from Penaeus indicus, 1501 nucleotides. RefSeq lists it as uncharacterized. The record is from RefSeq and is a predicted model, not a curated record. NCBI's taxonomy places the organism in Eukaryota, Metazoa, Arthropoda, Malacostraca, Decapoda, Penaeidae. The transcript is spliced from 2 exons.